UGCUGGCAGGAGUCUGAGUCACAGGCAGAGUCAAAUUCAAGGGAAGUUGUUCUUUUCUGAAUACAUGAGAGCUGAGGAACAUGCAAGAUAGACAAGAAAUGCUCCAAAUAUGAAAAACUUAAAGGAAAAUCCAACAUCUUUCAGAUGCCUGCCUCAAACUUCUGGUGUCGGAAGAAAUGGAAGCACAGUCUGCCUCAAAGUACAGUGAAGGAGAUAAAAUAUCAUACUACAAUAUGGUAUAUGCUUGUUUACACGCUCAGACUUGACAUUUUGUCUUCAGUCCCCCUUAUCUGACUCAUUUUCUGUUUAUAUGCCA
This is a long non-coding RNA of Aquila chrysaetos chrysaetos, 316 nucleotides long. RefSeq lists it as uncharacterized. Lineage: Eukaryota; Metazoa; Chordata; Aves; Accipitriformes; Accipitridae. The transcript has 3 exons. The record is from RefSeq and is a predicted model, not a curated record.